RNAcentral lists this long non-coding RNA (882 nucleotides) under Pan troglodytes (chimpanzee). RNAcentral's name for it is "long non-coding RNA NONPTRT010316". Lineage: Eukaryota; Metazoa; Chordata; Mammalia; Primates; Hominidae. The record is from RNAcentral.
UGGCUGAUGUACAGGAACCUGCAUGUCUUCAGACCGUACAACCUGAGGGAUUCUGCCCCCUUGCUGUGUGGAGGCCCCGGUGCUCUAAAGGAGGCUCUGUGUGAUGAAGAUGAAGGCACUGUGGAAAUGAUCACAGCAGGCAUGUGAGUUGUAAACACGGCUGUCACCUGGCUGGCGGGUGCGCUGACAGUUGGCAGGGAACGUGGCUAUGAUAGUUCUCCCUGCGGGACGAGGCCGAGGUGGGAGAUGGAUCCUCCCUUAUAUGCAGGCAUUAAACCCCAAGUACAAUUCUGUAAUUUGAGCCAGGGUUCCCAGCUGGAAUGUGAACAGCACACAAACUGAACCGGUGACCCUUUGCUCAGUGCCCAGAAUUAUGCUAUGAAUUUCUUGGAAAGAAUAAGGAUUGCUAUUCAAAAGUAGAAUACGUUUUGAAAUAUUAAAAUUGAAAGUCAGCUUCUCGGAGGCCUAACACAAAGUGAGGGCAUCUGUGCCAUCCUUGUAUUCGCCAGUGUAUCUUCUCGUGUGACCGGGCAACUGUUGGUGUGGUGAGUGAGUGAGCUUCCUAUUUUUAGCUCGCAUAUUUCAGAGGCACCUACAUUCAAUGCAAAAUUUUAAACACAAAGAGGAGGUGCGGUGACAGUGUUCUCAGCCCAACUGUGUGGAAUCAUCUGGAACCUUGCUGUCCGUCCACCCCUUUCACCUCUGUCCGGCUGGGUCAUCUCUGGAGUUAGCAUGGUUCCUUUAUAGCACGUUUUCCCAAAGGUGUCUGCAUAUUUUGUUUUAGUAAAAUCAUUUUUUUCUAUUUCCACUCUUUAGAAUUAAAAUGGAAAAUACUUCCUUUUUGAUUAGUGUUUGCAUUUCAGUGCUCUUGUUCAAAUUUUC